GCCUGGUUAGCUCAGUCGGUAGAGCAUGAGACUCUUAUUGUCAGGGUUGUGGGUUCGAGCCCCUCGUUCGACG
Molecule: transfer RNA, 73 nt
Filed under: Danio rerio (zebrafish)
Lineage: Eukaryota; Metazoa; Chordata; Actinopteri; Cypriniformes; Danionidae
Rfam family: tRNA
About the family: Transfer RNA (tRNA) molecules are approximately 80 nucleotides in length. Their secondary structure includes four short double-helical elements and three loops (D, anti-codon, and T loops).
Source: Rfam by way of RNAcentral